Molecule: ribosomal RNA, 253 nt
Filed under: uncultured bacterium
Lineage: Bacteria
Description: partial 16S ribosomal RNA
Rfam family: Bacterial small subunit ribosomal RNA
Source: RNAcentral
UACGGAGGGUGCAAGCGUUAUCCGGAUUCACUGGGUUUAAAGGGUGCGUAGGUGGGUCUGUAAGUCAGUGGUGAAAUCCCCGAGCUUAACUUGGGAACUGCCAUUGAUACUAUAGCUCUUGAAUACUGUGGAGGUCAGCGGAAUAUGUCAUGUAGCGGUGAAAUGCUUAGAUAUGACAUAGAACACCAAUGGCGAAGGCAGCUGGCUACACAAAUAUUGACACUGAGGCACGAAAGCGUGGGGAGCAAACAGG